RNAcentral lists this ribosomal RNA (434 nucleotides) under uncultured bacterium. Its description in RNAcentral is "bacterial SSU rRNA". It matches the Rfam family "Bacterial small subunit ribosomal RNA", at positions 354 to 796 of the family's 1533-position model. The record is from RNAcentral.
GUCGAGGAUCUUCGGCAAUGGGCGCAAGCCUGACCGAGCGACGCCGCGUGCGCGAUGAAGGCCUUCGGGUUGUAAAGCGCUGUCGAGGGGGAGGAAAGCCGCAAGGUCUGACCUAUCCCUGGAGGAAGCACGGGCUAAGUUCGUGCCAGCAGCCGCGGUAAGACGAACCGUGCGAACGUUGUUCGGAUUCACUGGGCUUAAAGGGCGCGUAGGCGGAUCACCAAGUCCGGGGUGAAAUCUUUCGGCUCAACCGGAAAAGAGCCUUGGAUACUGGUGGUCUGGAGGGAGGUAGGGGCAUGCGGAACUUCCGGUGGAGCGGUGAAAUGCGUAGAUAUCGGAAGGAACGCCGGUGGCGAAAGCGGCGUGCUGGACCUCUUCUGACGCUGAGGCGCGAAAGCCAGGGGAGCAAACGGGAUUAGAAACCCUUGUAGUCC